Cavia aperea (Brazilian guinea pig) is the source of this 176-nucleotide unclassified non-coding RNA. The record is from Ensembl. Lineage: Eukaryota; Metazoa; Chordata; Mammalia; Rodentia; Caviidae.
GUCCUCAGCUAUCAGAGGCGAGGAAAGCUGGUAAUUAAGAGGAGACAAAAGUGUCAUUAAGCGUGUACUGUCCAUGUGGGUUGGAGCCCCAUGCUGAGCCCAAGGCUGAUUCUGAUGGUGAAUGUUUCACGGGUGGAGAGAGCAGAGGGAGGCCCUGGUGAUGGGGAUCCCAAAGG